RNAcentral lists this ribosomal RNA (305 nucleotides) under uncultured bacterium. Its description in RNAcentral is "bacterial SSU rRNA". It matches the Rfam family "Bacterial small subunit ribosomal RNA", at positions 337 to 644 of the family's 1533-position model. The record is from RNAcentral.
GCCUACGGGACGCAGCAGUGGGGAAUAUUGCACAAUGGGGGAAACCCUGAUGCAGCGACGCCGCGUGAGUGAAGAAGUAUCUCGGUACGUAAAGCUCUAUCAGCAGGGAAGAAAAAAAGUCUUUGGCUUUGGACGGUACCUGACUAAGAAGCCCCGGCUAACUACGUGCCAGCAGCCGCGGUAAUACGUAGGGGGCAAGCGUUAUCCGGAUUUACUGGGUGUAAAGGGAGCGUAGACGGCAUAGCAAGUCUGAAGUGAAAGCCCGUGGCUCAACCGCGGAACUGCUUUGGAAACUGUUAAGCUGG